Molecule: long non-coding RNA, 455 nt
Organism: Pipistrellus kuhlii (Kuhl's pipistrelle)
Lineage: Eukaryota; Metazoa; Chordata; Mammalia; Chiroptera; Vespertilionidae
Exons: 3
Source: RefSeq, a predicted model, not a curated record
UGGGUUUCUAUGCCCCGAUCUCUAGCCAAUCUCUUAAAGGCAGACGUUAGGAAGUUCGCUGCUCAUCCCGACCAGCCUGCCUCCAGCCACAGCAGCCGGACAUGCAGGGAAUCAGGCUCUGCCUUUCUCCAAAGGGACAGCAGCUCUGACCUGCCUCUUGUCAUCGCACCCCAAACGAUGCGCGUUACGGACACAGAUACCGUCGACUGUUUUGGCAAUGGGAUGGCUGGCUUUGUUCUGAGGCAAAAACUGCAAUUGCAGUGCCAGACAGAAUAAGAGCAAUGCAUGUACCAAUGACACCAGGGAGGCAAAGGGCUACCAUGGAAAGAAAGCAGCUAUGUAUAUGCCUUCUGUGCAUACACAUAGGCCCGGGAGUGAUGGGAACUAGCUCGUGCACAAUGUCCAUAUAUAUGUCUAUAUAUAUGUGUGUGUGUGUGGAGAGAGAGAUAGAAACA